This 73-nucleotide transfer RNA is filed under the name bacterium. RNAcentral's name for it is "tRNA-Thr". It matches the Rfam family "tRNA". From Rfam's summary of the family: Transfer RNA (tRNA) molecules are approximately 80 nucleotides in length. Their secondary structure includes four short double-helical elements and three loops (D, anti-codon, and T loops). The record is from RNAcentral. RNAcentral also lists the same sequence under 1 other name.
GCCACCGUAGCUCAGUUGGUAGAGCAGGCGAUUCGUAAUCGUCAGGUCAGGAGUUCAAGUCUCCUCGGUGGCU